AUUGAACGCUGGCGGCAUGCUUUACACAUGCAAGUCGAACGGUAACAGGCCGCAAGGUGCUGACGAGUGGCGAACGGGUGAGUAAUGCAUCGGAACGUGCCCAGUCGUGGGGGAUAACUACUCGAAAGAGUAGCUAAUACCGCAUACGAUCUAUGGAUGAAAGCGGGGGACCGUAAGGCUUCGCGCGAUUGGUGCGGCCGAUGUCAGAUUAGGUAGUUGGUGGGGUAAAGGCUCACCAAGCCAACGAUCUGUAGCUGGUCUGAGAGGACGACCAGCCACACUGGGACUGAGACACGGCCCAGACUCCUACGGGAGGCAGCAGUGGGGAAUUUUGGACAAUGGGCGCAAGCCUGAUCCAGCAAUGCCGCGUGCAGGAAGAAGGCCUUCGGGUUGUAAACUGCUUUUGUACGGAACGAAACGGCUCUGGUUAAUACCCGGGGCUAAUGACGGUACCGGAAGAAUAAGCACCGGCUAACUACGUG
Molecule: ribosomal RNA, 482 nt
Filed under: uncultured bacterium
Lineage: Bacteria
Description: partial 16S ribosomal RNA
Rfam family: Bacterial small subunit ribosomal RNA
Source: RNAcentral